RNAcentral lists this ribosomal RNA (451 nucleotides) under uncultured bacterium. RNAcentral's name for it is "bacterial SSU rRNA". It matches the Rfam family "Bacterial small subunit ribosomal RNA", at positions 94 to 518 of the family's 1533-position model. The record is from RNAcentral.
AGUGGCGAACGGGUGAGUAAACGCGUAGGCAACCCUGGCCCUCCGGCCGGGGGACAACACUCCAAAGGGGUGCUAAUACCGGAUACGAAGUCUGUGCCGCAUGGUACGGAUUUGAAAGAUGGCCUCUAUUUAUAAGCUAUCGCCGGGGGAUGGGCCUGCGUCCGAUUAGCUGGUUGGUGGGGUAACGGCCUACCAAGGCGACGAUCGGUAGCCGGUCUGAGAGGAUGAACGGCCACAUUGGGACUGAGACACGGCCCAGACUCCUACGGGAGGCAGCAGUGGGGAAUCUUCCGCAAUGGGCGCAAGCCUGACGGAGCAACGCCGCGUGAGUGAGGAAGUUCUUCGGAACGUAAAGCUCUGUUGUUCCUGACGAACCUCCCCUCUAUCAACAACGGAGGGGACUGACGGUAGGGAACGAGGAAGCCACGGCUAACUACGUGCCAGCCGCAGC